CCCAAGGUUUCCUACGCGAUGCUCGUCAUCGUAGGGUUAGUCGGGUCCUAAGUCGAGUCCGAAAGGGGUAGACGAUGGCAAAUUGGUUAAUAUUCCAAUACCAACAUUAGUGUGCGAUGGAAGGACGCUUAGGGCUAAGGGGGCUAGCGGAUGGAAGUGCUAGUCUAAGGUUGUAGGAGGUUAUACAGGCAAAUCCGUAUAACAAUACUCCGAGAACUGAAAGGCUUUUUGAAGUCUUCGGAUGGAUAGAAGAACCCCUGAUGCCGUCGAGCCAAGAAAAGUUUCUAAGUUUAGCUAAUGUUGCCCGUACCGUAAACCGACACAGGUGGGUGGGAUGAGUAUUCUAAGGCGCGUGGAAGAACUCUCUUUAAGGAACUCUGCAAAAUAGCACCGUAUCUUCGGUAUAAGGUGUGGUUAGCUUCGUACUAGGAUUUACUCCGAAAGCGAAGAAACUUACAACAAAGAGUCCCUCCCGACUGUUUACCAAAAACACAGCACUCUGCUAACUCGUAAGAGGAUGUAUAGGGUGUGACGCCUGCCCGGUGCUCGAAGGUUAAUUGAUGGGGUUAGCAUUAGCGAAGCUCUUGAUCGAAGCCCGAGUAAACGGCGGCCGUAACUAUAACGGUCCUAAGGUAGCGAAAUUCCUUGUCGGUUAAAUACCGACCUGCAUGAAUGGCGUAACGAGAUGGGAGCUGUCUCAAAGAGGGAUCCAGUGAAAUUGUAGUGGAGGUGAAAAUUCCUCCUACCCGCGGCAAGACGGAAAGACCCCGUGGACCUUUACUACAGCUUGACACUGCUACUUGGAUAAGAAUGUGCAGGAUAGGUGGGAGGCUUUGAGUAUAUGACGCCAGUUGUAUAUGAGCCAUUGUUGAGAUACCACUCUUUCUUAUUUGGGUAGCUAACCAGCUUGAGUUAUCCUCAAGUGGGACAAUGUCUGGUGGGUAGUUUGACUGGGGCGGUCGCCUCCCAAAUAAUAACGGAGGCUUACAAAGGUUGGCUCAGAACGGUUGGAAAUCGUUCGUAGAGUAUAAAGGUAUAAGCCAGCUUAACUGCAAGACAUACAAGUCAAGCAGAGACGAAAGUCGGUCUUAGUGAUCCGGUGGUUCUGUGUGGAAGGGCCAUCGCUCAAAGGAUAAAAGGUACCCCGGGGAUAACAGGCUGAUCUCCCCCAAGAGCUCACAUCGACGGGGAGGUUUGGCACCUCGAUGUCGGCUCAUCGCAUCCUGGGGCUGGAGCAGGUCCCAAGGGUAUGGCUGUUCGCCAUUUAAAGCGGUACGCGAGCUGGGUUCAGAACGUCGUGAGACAGUUCGGUCCCUAUCUGCCGUGGGCGUAAGAAGAUUGAAGAGAUUUGACCCUAGUACGAGAGGACCGGGUUGAACAAACCACUGGUGUAGCUGUUGUUCUGCCAAGAGCAUCGCAGCGUAGCUAAGUUUGGAAAGGAUAAACGCUGAAAGCAUCUAAGCGUGAAGCCAACUCUAAGAUGAAUCUUCUCUAAGCUCUCUAGAAGACUACUAGUUUGAUAGGCUGGGUGUGUAAUGGAUGAAAGUCCUUUAGCUGACCAGUACUAAUAGAGCGUUUGGCUUAUCUUUAUAAAGCAU
Molecule: ribosomal RNA, 1598 nt
Filed under: Campylobacter jejuni
Lineage: Bacteria; Pseudomonadati; Campylobacterota; Epsilonproteobacteria; Campylobacterales; Campylobacteraceae
Description: partial 23S ribosomal RNA
Rfam family: Bacterial large subunit ribosomal RNA
Source: RNAcentral